UACGUAGGGUGCAAGCGUUAAUCGGAAUUACUGGGCGUAAAGCGUGCGCAGGCGGUUUUGUAAGUCUGACGUGAAAUCCCCGGGCUCAACCUGGGAAUUGCGUUGGAGACUGCAAGGCCAGAAUCUGGCAGAGGGGGGUAGAAUUCCACGUGUAGCAGUGAAAUGCGUAGAGAUGUGGAGGAACACCGAUGGCGAAGGCAGCCCCCUGGGUCAAGAUUGACGCUCAUGCACGAAAGCGUGGGGAGCAAACAGG
Molecule: ribosomal RNA, 253 nt
Filed under: uncultured bacterium
Lineage: Bacteria
Description: partial 16S ribosomal RNA
Rfam family: Bacterial small subunit ribosomal RNA
Source: RNAcentral